RNAcentral lists this small nucleolar RNA (134 nucleotides) under Dasypus novemcinctus (nine-banded armadillo). Its description in RNAcentral is "Small nucleolar RNA SNORA72 (ENSDNOG00000028097.1)". It matches the Rfam family "Small nucleolar RNA SNORA72". Rfam says of the family: U72 is a member of the H/ACA class of snoRNAs. The snoRNA gene is located in intron 4 of the ribosomal L30 protein gene in human, mouse and chicken. The record is from RNAcentral. Lineage: Eukaryota; Metazoa; Chordata; Mammalia; Cingulata; Dasypodidae.
UUGCAAAUAUUCUCACUAUCCUGGUUUUGUGAUAAUCACGGCAGGCUAAACAUUCACUGUAUUAGAGCUGUGUAUGUAUCCACAGACCUAGUCUUUUCCCUCUAGGUCUGAUUUUUAAAAUGCUGGUGAUAAAC